GCUUACGGCCAUACCACCCUGAAAACGCCCGAUCUCGUCCGAUCUCGGAAGCUAAGCAGGGUCGGGCCUGGUUAGUACUUGGAUGGGAGACCGCCUGGGAAUACCAGGUGCUGUAAGCU
RNAcentral lists this ribosomal RNA (119 nucleotides) under Monopterus albus (swamp eel). Lineage: Eukaryota; Metazoa; Chordata; Actinopteri; Synbranchiformes; Synbranchidae. The record is from RNAcentral.